GGAUGUGAGGGCGAUCUGGCUGCAACAUCUGUCACCCUGUUGAUCGCUAGGGUUGAUUCGGCUGAUCUGGCUAGCUAGACAGGUGUCCCCUUCCUCCCUUACCGCCCCAUGUGCAUGCAUCCCUCCUGAAGCUGCAUGCCGGGUCGAAGAGGAUGACCUUCCCCUAAGAGAGGAAGAUUGGUCUUUGGUCAAGUGUAUACGAGUAACUGCGCUCCCCUGCUAGAACCUCCAAAUGUGGUUUUUGAAAAGGUCCGUUUGAAAAGAUUUUUAAGACUUAUCAAGCCCUAGCCAAGAUAACCAAAAGAGCAAGAAAAUACAAAUUAAUAAACUGGAAAUGUAAAAGAAGAUUU
This 350-nucleotide small nuclear RNA is filed under the name Microtus ochrogaster (prairie vole). RNAcentral describes it as "7SK RNA (ENSMOCG00000009541.1)". The stretch from base 1 to 286 matches the Rfam family "7SK RNA". Rfam says of the family: 7SK was discovered as an abundant small nuclear RNA in the mid-70s but a possible function has only recently been suggested. Two independent studies have found that 7SK RNA binds the CDK9/cyclin T complex (known as elongation factor P-TEFb). P-TEFb activates transcription by phosphorylating the C-terminal domain of RNA polymerase II. Lineage: Eukaryota; Metazoa; Chordata; Mammalia; Rodentia; Cricetidae. The record is from RNAcentral.